Molecule: ribosomal RNA, 458 nt
Filed under: uncultured bacterium
Lineage: Bacteria
Description: bacterial SSU rRNA
Rfam family: Bacterial small subunit ribosomal RNA
Source: RNAcentral
CACAUGCAAGUCGAACGAGAAUCUGAUGAAGGAGUUUUCGGACAACGGAUUCAGAGGACAGUGGCGGACGGGUGAGUAACGCGUGAGGAACCUGCCUUUCAGAGGGGGACAACAGGUUGAAACGACUGCUAAUACCGCCAUAACACAUUGAAGUCGCAUGGCUUUAAUGUCAAAGNUUUAUCGCUGAAAGAUGGCCUCGCGUCUGAUUAGCUAGUUGGUGAGGUAACGGCUCACCAAGGCGACGAUGCGUAGCCGACCUGAGAGGGUGAUCGGCCACAUUGGGACUGAGACACGGCCCAGACUCCUACGGGAGGCAGCAGUGGGGGAUAUUGCGCAAUGGGGGCAACCCUGACGCAGCAACGCCGCGUGAUCGAAGAAGGUCUUCGGAUUGUAAAGAUCUUUUAUCAGGGACGAAUAAAAUGACGGUACCUGAUGAAUAAGCUCCGGCUAACUACGUG